Molecule: ribosomal RNA, 495 nt
Filed under: uncultured bacterium
Lineage: Bacteria
Description: bacterial SSU rRNA
Rfam family: Bacterial small subunit ribosomal RNA
Source: RNAcentral
AUGAACGCUAGCGACAGGCCUAACACAUGCAAGUCAGGGGCAGCACAAGGAGCAAUCUGAGGUGGCGACCGGCGCACGGGUGAGUAACACGUAUGCAACCUGCCUGUAAGCGGGGAAUAACCCGUUGAAAGACGGACUAAUACCGCAUAAUACUAAAUUACUGCAUGGUAAUUUAUUUAAACAUUUAUGGCUUACAGAUGGGCAUGCGCAUGAUUAGCUAGUUGGAGAGGUAACGGCUCCCCAAGGCAACGAUCAUUAGGGGUUCUGAGAGGAAGGUCCCCCCACACUGGUACUGAGACACGGACCAGACUCCUACGGGAGGCAGCAGUGAGGAAUAUUGGUCAAUGGACGAGAGUCUGAACCAGCCAAGUCGCGUGCAGGAAGAAUGUCCCUAUGGAUUGUAAACUGCUUUUGCAGGGGAAUAAAGUGCAUCACGUGUGAUGUUUUGUAUGUACUCUGCGAAUAAGGAUCGGCUAACUCCGUGCCAGCCGCCGC